AAAAAUUAUUUGCGGGUUGGUUGGAGAUGUCCUAAACCCCAAACCCCAGCACUAAACUGAGUCUCGUCGAAGCAAAACGGAAUCUCCAAUCCUUAAACCCUAGCGCAACCUCUUGCACAUCUCCAUGGCGAAGGCUCUUACAAAGUCUGCGCGCCGGGUUCUUCCGUAUCUGACGCAUUCCUGCCGAUGGAUUGAGCCGAACUUGGAGCAUUCACCUUGCCUGAUGAAAUCGGACGUCAGCUCACCAAACAUCAACUACGUCAGGUUAUUUAGUGUACAAAAGAACCCUCCUGCUCGAGCCCAACAAAUGGGGGCACUGAAAGUAGCAAGGACGAGCCCUGGGUUUGUGUAUGAGCCAUAUAUUCCCCGCGAAAAAAUCCCUUUCUGGCGUAGAUGGUUUACUAGAUCUGGUUGGAAAAGAACAAAAGAAGAUAUCUUUCUAGAGCUAAAGAGUGCUUAUGCUAUUGCAAAAUUGAGAAAAUCUGGGUACUCGAAACAAAAGUUCUAUCAAGAAGCUGCUAAUCUAUACAAAGAGAUAAACACCCUAAUGGCAAAUGGAGACAUAAGAUUGUUGAGGAAACACACAACAGAGUUGAUGUGUUCUGCUUUGAAGAAUGAAAUCAAGAAUCGAGAGAAAGUCUGGAGUCAUGUUUACUGGGAACUAAUUAUGCCGCUUGUUAAAAUACGCACUCUGCGGGCACGACUGAUUGGUGUAGAUAAAAAGGACCUCAAUAAAGUGUUUGUUCAACUUACUAUGGAGUUUGUUAGCAAUCAGAAGUUCGAAGCAUAUGACUCAAAUGGAGCUGUUGUUUCCGGUGACAAAAACAAGGAGGUGCUCGUUCGCGAUAUAUGGGUUUUUGAGAAAUCUCUAUUCCACCAAGAUGCAUAUUGGCGUCUGUGUGGAAGAAUCAAAGUGGAACAAGUGUUGGAGGGUGGAAUGGAAGGGGGAAGUUUUGCCGCGAAAUUCAUUUAGUUUCUUCAUAAUGUGGCGAUCGAUCUAAGCGCCACUCGGACACAUUUGUAGGACAAUCCAAUCACCCGACUACGCUUUGGGUUCGAUUUGUGUCCAGUUCUGGUUUGAACCGUAACAGUCGGUUCGAAGACCGGAAAACCGGCGGUUCCAAACCGAAUGGGCAAGUCUAACUGGGGAUCGGAACAAGUCGAAUUACAAUU
RNA transcript from Andrographis paniculata, 1173 nucleotides. RefSeq lists it as uncharacterized. The record is from RefSeq and is a predicted model, not a curated record. The transcript is spliced from 13 exons. NCBI's taxonomy places the organism in Eukaryota, Viridiplantae, Streptophyta, Magnoliopsida, Lamiales, Acanthaceae.